CAGGCUGGAGUGCAGUGGCGCAAUCUCAGCUUGCUGCAACUUCUGCCUCCAAGUUCAAGCGAUUCUCCUGCCUCAGCCUCCCAAGUAGCAGGGAUUACAGGUGUGCGCCACCACACCCAGCUAAUCUUUGUAUUUUUAGUAGAGAUGGAGUUUCACUACGUUGCCUAGGCUGGUCUCGAACUCCUGACCUCAAGUGAUCUGUCCACCUCGGCCUCCCAAAGUGCUGGGAUUACAGGCAUGAGCCACCACGCCCAGCCCCCACCUUCAGCUUUUGCUGAACCCGUCCUUGUGCCACCCAUGUAGUACUCCGUAUAGUAAGUCAGCAAAUCUCAUUGUUUUGAGCUAAGUGCCUACGUUAGCCUCUGCCUAAACAGGUUUGAUGGGCUGAUUUUUCUCCAAUAUGCUUUGGAAAUCAUUGUAUAAUACUGAAAAGAAAAAUGCCCAUCUCUGCACCACCCAAAAUCACUGCCUCCCUUGGGAGACACCAGCCAGAGCAAAUUCCCAGCAGAGCAUAACAACCCUGUAGAGUGGCCCCUGCUCACCACUGCUCUCCUGCAAACCAAGAACAGAAGUUCUCACACCUGCCCGCCUUCUGCCCUCACUCCCACUGCUCCAACAGCAAACAAACCCUUCCUCCCCCGCUAUGGACCCUGAAAAGCUAUAUCCAUCCUAGGACUCUCAUACCAGCCCCAGGCCCUCAAGCCUCACCUGCUUCCAGCCCCUGACUUCAUGCCUGAAGAACAGCCAACUUUUUUUUUUUUUUUUUUUUUUUUGAGACUGGGUGUCACUGUCACCCAGGUUGGAGUGCCAUGGUGCAAUCAUAGCUCACUGCAGCCUCAAAUUCCUGGGCUCCAGCAAUCCUCCCACCUCAGCCUCCAGAGUAACUGGGACCAAGGCUCAUGCCACCAUGCCCAGCUAAUUGUAUUUUUUUUUUUUUUUUUUUUGGUAAGACCAGGUUUCACCAUGAUGCCCAGGCUGGUCUCAAACUCAGCUCAAGCCAUCCACCUGCCUCGGCCUCUCAGAAUGCUGGGAUUACAGGUGUGAGGAUGGUCUGAGUACAGGAGUUCGAGACCAACUUGGACGAUGUAGCAAGAUGCUCUCUACAAAAAAUUUAAAAAUUAGCCAGGCAUGGUGGCAUAUGCCUAUAGUCCCAGCUACUGAGGAGGCUGAAGGAGGAUCACUUGAGCCCACGAGGUUAAGGCUGCAGGGCAGCCUUGUCUCAAAAACAAAAAACACCUCUAUAGCAGCAAUGAGCCAGGGACUGUGGACAGUGCACCCCGAGGCCAGUCCCCUCUUCCCACAGGUAUAUCAUGGGAGUAAGAUGUAACUCACACAACAUCCUAAAAGCUUCAACAGGGCACUGGACAGCUGCUGACCAAGUUACUGGCAUUUUCUGUUGCCAGGAAGCUGCAUUCUCCUUCCUGCUAAGCUUUCUCAUGCUAGAGAAUGAUGACUCAAGAAAAACAGAUGAUCCCAUCUUCUUCUUCACCACCCCCUAAAAAAACAGACUGCCAAGUGGAAUGUGUCAGCCUCACCUGGGGGAGACACCCUCACCUGACGACUUAAAAGGAAAAACCUGGUAAGCCAGCCGCCACACAAACACGCGCACUGCCUUACACAAAACAAAACUUCAUUAGGAGAAAGACGGCUGAUGGCAGGCAAGAUCUGGAUUCAGGAAUCCUCAGUUCUAGCUAUUCCUUGGUCAGCAACAACCUCUGUCCCUCCCAGAGCCUCCAGGAGUUUCCCCUUCUGUAAACUGGUAUCGCAUCCCUUCCAGCUGUGACAUCCUGCAGUUCUAGAAUACCCGCUGAU
Long non-coding RNA from Piliocolobus tephrosceles (Ugandan red Colobus), 1812 nucleotides. Lineage: Eukaryota; Metazoa; Chordata; Mammalia; Primates; Cercopithecidae. The record is from Ensembl.